RNAcentral lists this ribosomal RNA (304 nucleotides) under uncultured bacterium. RNAcentral's name for it is "partial 16S ribosomal RNA". It matches the Rfam family "Bacterial small subunit ribosomal RNA", at positions 506 to 807 of the family's 1533-position model. The record is from RNAcentral.
CAGCAGUCGCCACGGGAAUACGUAGGGUGCAAGCGUUAAUCGGAAUUACUGGGCGUAAAGCGUGCGCAGGCGGUGUUGUAAGACUGAUGUGAAAUCCCCGGGCUCAACCUGGGAACUGCAUUGGUGACUGCAACGCUGGAGUGCGGCAGAGGGGGAUGGAAUUCCGCGUGUAGCAGUGAAAUGCGUAGAUAUGCGGAGGAACACCGAUGGCGAAGGCAAUCCCCUGGGCCUGCACUGACGCCCAUGCACGAAAGCGUGGGGAGCAAACAGGAUUAGAUACCCCUGUAGUCCCUGUCUCUUAUAC